GCCUGGUAGAAAAGCGACCAGAGGGUGGCCGCAAGCUCAGCUCCAUCGGACAGCGUGAUUUGGAUCACAUUGCAAACCAGAUUGUGGCCAAGCAACGUGAUGCCGCCAAGCAAACGGAUCCCCUUUUACGUUGUGGAUCGCUGGAUCCCCCAGUUAAGAGAAGUCUGUAACUUUUUUAGCUUAUAAUUUAAGAACCAAAUGGUUCAAAUGAACCAUAAACAAAAAUUUGAAUAUUGCGAAAAAUUAAUAAAAAAAAACAGCAUAAGACACAUAUAAACGAGGAGAAACGUUGUGAGGCGAUCUCGAACGCGUCUCAAAUUUUGUACCCGGUACUCAGUCAGCAUAUUUUGUACGUACAAAUGUACAAACCCAUACGAUUUUCCGGAUUUUUUUUUCGGUUUUUUUUUUAGUUUAAGAAACCUUACAAAGUCGAUCGAAAAAAGUAGGAUUCAUUUUAAGAUUCAAACGAAAUUUAGAUUCAAUCUGUCAGUCAGAACAAAAUAUAUUUAAAAUAAUUUUAAUUGGUUGCAGAUUUCGAUUCAUUAACAACGACAUUGUAUGCUAUUAGGUUAUGUUACCCUCGCAUAGGCCAGUGUGGCUUUUAGUUAUCCGAGUUAAGAGAGCGUGUUGGCGUAAGAAGUGAUGUAGAUGUAGAUGACAU
Drosophila subobscura is the source of this 661-nucleotide long non-coding RNA. RefSeq lists it as uncharacterized. The transcript has 3 exons. The record is from RefSeq and is a predicted model, not a curated record. NCBI's taxonomy places the organism in Eukaryota, Metazoa, Arthropoda, Insecta, Diptera, Drosophilidae.